RNAcentral lists this transfer RNA (74 nucleotides) under Bradypodion pumilum. RNAcentral describes it as "partial tRNA-Leu". The record is from RNAcentral. Lineage: Eukaryota; Metazoa; Chordata; Lepidosauria; Squamata; Chamaeleonidae.
ACUUUAAAAGGAAAAGAGAUCUCCCAUGGCCUUAGGAACCAAACCUCUUGGUGCAAAUCCAAGUAAAAGUAAUG